CCCACAAAACGACAGUUGGUUUGAACGCGUCACGCGAUUUCUAAAAGGGAUACAGAUGUUUCCGUUUCAAAAUUCUUUGUUAUUUUAUGUGAACCCAGUAAAAUUUAAAGAAAUUCUCGCUACAAUCUAAAUACAUAUGUGUAAACGAAUUAACACUACGAAAACCUUUUGAAAAAUCAUCAAUGAAAUAUGAUAAAAGCAGUUGAAUCAGGCACAGUCGAAUAUUGCACAAGUUUCUGUUCAAUAAAAUUUUUGCGAGUGAGCAAAAUUACACCGUCUCAGAUGUCAUGUUUCAUUGGAAUGGGCUAUGAAAUUUCAUCAACUACUGACGCAAAGCCAAUGAAACGGACAAUCGACGACCGCAAGUCCACAAUGUCAUCCGACAUAAUCUAUAUAUAUUAAUACGUGAAGCAAAAA
Long non-coding RNA from Bombyx mori (domestic silkworm), 417 nucleotides. RefSeq lists it as uncharacterized. The record is from RefSeq and is a predicted model, not a curated record. Lineage: Eukaryota; Metazoa; Arthropoda; Insecta; Lepidoptera; Bombycidae. The transcript has 2 exons.